RNAcentral lists this ribosomal RNA (253 nucleotides) under uncultured bacterium. RNAcentral describes it as "partial 16S ribosomal RNA". It matches the Rfam family "Bacterial small subunit ribosomal RNA", at positions 524 to 776 of the family's 1533-position model. The record is from RNAcentral.
UACGUAGGGUGCAAGCGUUAUCCGGAAUUAUUGGGCGUAAAGAGCUCGUAGGCGGUUUGUCGCGUCUGCUGUGAAAACGCGAGGCUCAACCUCGCGCCUGCAGUGGGUACGGGCAGACUAGAGUGCGGUAGGGGAGAUUGGAAUUCCUGGUGUAGCGGUGGAAUGCGCAGAUAUCAGGAGGAACACCGAUGGCGAAGGCAGGUCUCUGGGCAUUAACUGACGCUGAGGAGCGAAAGCAUGGGGAGCGAACAGG